This 491-nucleotide ribosomal RNA is filed under the name uncultured bacterium. RNAcentral's name for it is "partial 16S ribosomal RNA". It matches the Rfam family "Bacterial small subunit ribosomal RNA", at positions 29 to 506 of the family's 1533-position model. The record is from RNAcentral.
AGUGAACGCUGGCGGUAGGCCUAACACAUGCAAGUCGAACGGCAGCACAGUAAGAGCUUGCCCUUACGGGUGGCGAGUGGCGGACGGGUGAGGAAUACAUCGGAAUCUACUUUUUCGUGGGGGAUAACGUAGGGAAACUUACGCUAAUACCGCAUACGACCUACGGGUGAAAGCAGGGGAUCUUCGGACCUUGCGCGAUUGAAUGAGCCGAUGUCGGAUUAGCUAGUUGGCGGGGUAAAGGCCCACCAAGGCGACGAUCCGUAGCUGGUCUGAGAUGAUGAUCAGCCACACUGGAACUGAGACACGGUCCAGACUCCUACGGGAGGCAGCAGUGGGGAAUAUUGGACAAUGGGCGCAAGCCUGAUCCAGCCAUACCGCGUGGGUGAAGAAGGCCUUCGGGUUGUAAAGCCCUUUUGUUGGGAAAGAAAAGCAGCAGGUUAAUACCCCGCUGUUCUGACGGUACCCAAAGAAUAAGCACCGGCUAACUUCGU